CCUACGGGAGGCAGCAGUGGGGAAUAUUGCACAAUGGGGGGAACCCUGAUGCAGCGACGCCGCGUGGGUGAGGAAGUACUUCGGUAUGUAAAGCCCUAUCAGCAGGGAAGAAAAUGACGGUCCCUGACUAAGAAGCCCCGGCUAACUACGUGCCAGCAGCCGCGGUAAUACGUAGGGGGCAAGCGUUAUCCGGAUUUACUGGGUGUAAAGGGAGCGUAGACGGCGUGCCAAGUCUGGUGUGAAAGGCCGGGGCUCAACCCCGGGACUGCAUUGGAAACUGGCAUGCUGGAGUGCAGGAGGGGGAAGCGGAAUUCCUAGUGUAGCGGUGAAAUGCGUAGAUAUUAGGAGGAACACCGGUGGUGAAGGCGGCUUGCUGGACGGUAACUGACGUUGAGGCUCGAAAGCGUGGGGAGCAAACAGGAUUAGAUACCCGGGUAGUC
RNAcentral lists this ribosomal RNA (440 nucleotides) under uncultured bacterium. RNAcentral's name for it is "partial 16S ribosomal RNA". It matches the Rfam family "Bacterial small subunit ribosomal RNA", at positions 338 to 795 of the family's 1533-position model. The record is from RNAcentral.